ACACGAGAGAGGAGGUGGUCCAGGAGUGAAUUCUUCAAGGACGCGUGAGGUGACUGCGCGCUAGCGCAGAUCGUCUGUCGGACACCUCGAAGUGGCCCGACGUCGGACGUGGUGGCAAUUCCAUGCAGUCACCGCAGCCCGUGGGAACGCGAUUCGUCCAUCGCGUGCCCGUCUCGAAGGAGGCGGGAGCCCACGGGCUGUUAUCU
This 206-nucleotide small RNA is filed under the name Luteipulveratus mongoliensis. Its description in RNAcentral is "Actinobacteria sRNA Ms_IGR-5". It matches the Rfam family "Actinobacteria sRNA Ms_IGR-5". The record is from Rfam by way of RNAcentral. Lineage: Bacteria; Bacillati; Actinomycetota; Actinomycetes; Micrococcales; Dermacoccaceae.